This is a long non-coding RNA of Agelaius phoeniceus (red-winged blackbird), 230 nucleotides long. RefSeq lists it as uncharacterized. The record is from RefSeq and is a predicted model, not a curated record. NCBI's taxonomy places the organism in Eukaryota, Metazoa, Chordata, Aves, Passeriformes, Icteridae.
GGUCCGAGCCGCCGCCGCCCGCCGCGGGCAGCAGCGCCGUGAGGGGCUGCCCCGUUCCCGGGCCCUGCCGUUACCUGGGAGAGCCGGGGCUAUUUUUAACCUGGAUGUGUUCUGUGAUCUGUUUCCCACACAGCACAGAAACUGGCACAGCUGAGGGCAGCAUCACUACAGCCACAUUUGAGUCUGUGCUGCUUUAAUUGUACCAGAGGAGUUAAAAGGAAAGAACUGAG